CAGCAGCCGCGGUAAUACGGAGGGGGCUAGCGUUGUUCGGAAUUACUGGGCGUAAAGCGCACGUAGGCGGCUUGGUAAGUUAGAGGUGAAAGCCUGGAGCUCAACUCCAGAAUUGCCUUUAAGACUGCCGAGCUAGCAGGUGAGAGAGGUAAGUGGAAUUCCGAGUGUAGAGGUGAAAUUCGUAGAUAUUCGGAAGAACACCAGUGGCGAAGGCGGCUUACUGGCUCAUACUGGACGCUCAUGCACGAAAGCGUGGGGAGCAAACAGGAUUAGAUACCCCCGUAGUCCCUGUCUCUUAUAC
This 301-nucleotide ribosomal RNA is filed under the name uncultured bacterium. Its description in RNAcentral is "partial 16S ribosomal RNA". It matches the Rfam family "Bacterial small subunit ribosomal RNA", at positions 509 to 807 of the family's 1533-position model. The record is from RNAcentral.